AAAAGAAUAAUUUAAUAAAAAAUAUUAGGCUUCAAACUUAAAUAUAAGUUUCGACUUUUCUUUUG
RNAcentral lists this transfer RNA (65 nucleotides) under Perumytilus purpuratus. Its description in RNAcentral is "tRNA-Trp". It matches the Rfam family "tRNA". Rfam says of the family: Transfer RNA (tRNA) molecules are approximately 80 nucleotides in length. Their secondary structure includes four short double-helical elements and three loops (D, anti-codon, and T loops). Lineage: Eukaryota; Metazoa; Mollusca; Bivalvia; Mytilida; Mytilidae. The record is from RNAcentral.